GAUAAUAAAUCUGUCAUUAAAUUGCAUUAAUUAUAUAUUAAAAGUAUUUAUAUCCAAGGUUGAUUGGAUCUAGGGCAUAACACUCACAUGAACGUCUUUCAUCAUUUAUUACCAAAAAUUGCUAUGAUGUCGUUCGGCCUUCCUAAGAAGAGCGGUGCUCUCAAUUUUCAACGUAUUCCACGUGUUUUGAUCUGGACCUUGAAGCUAAAACAUUGGUCUCAUCGAAUGGUCUAUAAAUGACCCAAAUUUGGAUGGUCUAGAUCUUUGAGAUUUGACGGUUAAAAAUGCAUGUGUUUGCCUAUAAAAGGC
Molecule: long non-coding RNA, 309 nt
Filed under: Olea europaea (common olive)
Lineage: Eukaryota; Viridiplantae; Streptophyta; Magnoliopsida; Lamiales; Oleaceae
Description: long non-coding RNA (OEUR_LNC014082)
Source: RNAcentral